AACGCGGCCAACUGCGAUAAUUGGUGCGAUUCGCAGCGCCUAGUGAGUCAUUGAAAUUUUGAAUGCAAAUAGCAUGUUGGGUAAUAAAACUCCAGCAUAUGUCUGGUUGAGUGUUG
This 116-nucleotide ribosomal RNA is filed under the name Kudoa shiomitsui. RNAcentral describes it as "5.8S ribosomal RNA". It matches the Rfam family "5.8S ribosomal RNA", at positions 42 to 154 of the family's 154-position model. Rfam says of the family: 5.8S ribosomal RNA (5.8S rRNA) is a component of the large subunit of the eukaryotic ribosome. It is transcribed by RNA polymerase I as part of the 45S precursor that also contains 18S and 28S rRNA. Lineage: Eukaryota; Metazoa; Cnidaria; Myxozoa; Multivalvulida; Kudoidae. The record is from RNAcentral.